UGCUACCAGGUGUCUCCGCAGUUGUUUAGCGAUAUUGGCGGUAUUUCUUCACGUGUAAAAUGAGUAAGGAGUGCGAAAUGGAUAAUAGAAAAAUUUGUUAUCUUACUUUUAUGCUUAGUUAACGCUUCCACUGUUAUCAGUGCUUCAUUACGUUCCAUAUUACGUUCCAUGAUAUUUCCGAUUUUUGCAUACAAAAUACAACUUAUUGGGAUUUAACCUUUCAAGAUGAAUGAUAACAUCGAGGAGGGAAUUAUCACCUACAUACAUCUGGAGAAUUUUGUGACUUAUGACAAAGUGACAGUGAUACCAGGAAGAUAUCUCAAUGUUAUUGUUGGACCUAAUGGUUCUGGCAAAUCCACCAUUGUCGCCGCUAUAGUUCUCGGUCUAGGAGGUAAACCAAACAUCAUUGGGCGAGCCCUUCACAUAGGAGAAUAUGUGAAAUAUGGACGGGAUUCGGCAAAAAUCGAAAUUCAUCUGAAAAAUAGCUUCAAACAGGAUUCUAUAAUAACUAGGAUAUUUACCAAAGAAGGAAAGUCCAUAUGGAUGAUUAAUGGUAAUCAUGCAAAUUCCAAAAAUAUACAGGAAUUCACAUCCAAGCUUAAUAUUCAAGUCAACAAUCUUUGUCAAUUUUUGCCGCAAGAUAAAGUACAAGAUUUCUCAAAAAUGGAUGCUCAAGCAUUGUUAGAAAAUACAGAAAGAUCUGUCGGAGACCCAAAGCUUCUUGAGUAUCAUCUAAAAUUGAAGGAUCAAAGAAUCAAUUUUAAGAAAUUGGAAGGUGAUAUAACCAAUACAAAACGAUUAUUGGAAUCUAAAACUCAGAGACGUGAUGGACUACAACAAACUGUUGCAACAAUAAAAGAAAAAAAGUUGAUAAAGAAAAAAAUUGUAACACUGAAGCAAAAGAAGGCAUGGAUGCUAUAUGAUCAAAUGCGGAGGAAAUUAGUAGAGUCAAAGAAAGCCAGAGAUAAGGCAGCAAAAGAAAUGCAAUUAAUAGACAAAAAACUGCAACCGUUAAAUAAAAAGAUUGAAAAUAUAAAGAUUGAAAUGACAACGUUAAAAAAUUCUUUAAAGGAUCAUAACAAUAAAGUUAAUGCUAAGAAUGCGAAAUUAAGAAACAUCAUGAAUGAGAUUUUUAAUUCUGAAAACAGCAUCAAGGAUGCAGAAAACAUAUGUUCUCGAAACAUUCAGGCAGAACAGACUCGAGAUCAAGAUAUUAAAUUUGCACAACAACAGAAAUCGAAACUUGAGAAUGAUUUUUCUCUUACGAUUAAUGAAAUGGGAUCAGAGGAAAGUUUAAUGGAACAAAUGCAAAAUAUAGCAUCUAAUAUAGAGGAGCAUAGAAAAGGAAUUAAGAAUCUCACUAAUAAAAUUAUCACAUUGAAGCAUGAGGACGAAAACAUUAGUCGUGAAAUGAGAGCUGUGCAAGCGGAACUCCAAACAAUUAAUAUUGAUGUAAAGCGAUUAGAAUUGCUGAAACAAAAGGAUGUGAACGCAUACAAAGCUGUACUUUGGUUAAAAGAGAAUCGAGACAAAUUUUCAGCAACAGUGCAUCUGCCAAUGUUACUCAAUAUUAAUGUAAAAGAGGCUUCAUAUGCCAAAUAUUUAGAAAACAUAAUACCGUUUCGAGAUUUAAUUGCAUUCACAUGUGAAGAUAAAAGAGACAUGAAUCUUUUACUUAAGUAUUUGAGGGAACAACAAAAACUGAAAGUUAAUGUUGUACAUUCUGAUCCAAUGAAAAGAAUCACAUUGCAACCGAAUAUCCCGAUAGAAAACAUACAAAAAUUUGGCUUCAAGCAUUAUUUAGUAGAGCUUAUCGAAGUACCGCCCUCCAUACUGAAAUAUUUAGUUUCGAUGUAUCGUUUAAAUAAUAUCCCUGUCGGGACUAAUGAAAUCGAGAAUAAUACAAAUUACAUACCUCGCAACUUAAAUUGUUACUUUAGUGAAAAUAAUGUAUAUUCUGUAAAUACAUCUAAGUAUACGCACGAAACAUCGACCAGAAUAUCACGAGUUCAUGGAAAUGGAAUGUUAUCUAUUGUUCUGGACAAAUCUAAACUACAGAAUCUUCAAGAACGAUUACAAAAUUUGCAAGAAAAGAAAAAUAAAAUUUCGAUAAAUAUUAAAGAAAUAGAAGAAAAAUUACAUUUGAAAACGAAAACAUUAGAUGAAUAUAGAGCCAACAGAAAUAAAUGUCAACAAAAUGUUCAGCAUAUUCAAGCAUUAAAAGGUAGAAUACACAUAGCUGAAGAUAAACUUAAACAGUUGGAAAUGGGCCGGAUGAAUAUUGAUGAUAUAAAAGCAACAUAUACCAACGAGAUUAAGGCCAUUAUAAAGAAACAAUUAAAACUGUAUAAAGAAUAUAAUGGAAUUUUGCAAGAAUGUUUCAAUUGCAAUACAAGUAACGUAGAAGUCAAAUUUGCAAUAACGUUAUUACAACAAACUUUAUUGUUUAAAGAGACUGAAGCCGACGAAUUAAAGGAUAAGUUUAUAACAGCAGAGAGAAUAUUUAAAAGACAUGAUGAAGAAUUCCAACCUUUAAAGAAAGAAGCUGAAAGAUUAUAUAAGGAAGCAUUGACAAGCACAAAUAAUCUUAAUCCACAAGAUGACAUGUUUAAAGCUUUCAAUAAAGCCUUUGAAAAAUUACCAGCUACUAUAGCUGAAAUAAAUAAUGAAUUAAAUAUUGCUCAAGCAAAAGUUUUUUGUAUGGCACAAAAUGUGGACGCUGAGAAUAUACUGCGUGAAUAUGAAGAAAUGCAAAAUAAUAUUCUCGACUUAACUGAAUUUAUCAAAAAGAAGAGUAUUUUACUAGAGCAAAUGACAAAGGAGAUUGAAACAUUAAAAGAAAAGUGGUUACAACCAUUGCAGCAACUGAUUGAAAAAAUUAAUGCGAAUUUUAGUUCUUAUUUUUUUGCAAUGGACUGUGCUGGCGAAGUUACGCUCUCACAUGGUGAAAAUAUCUUGGAUUUUGAUCAGUACGGACUAAAGAUCAAAGUAAAAUUCCGAGAUGCGGACGAGUUGCAAGAAUUAACAAGGCAUUUUCAGAGUGGUGGGGAAAGAACCGUAACUACUGCCAUUUACAUGAUAGCGCUGCAAGAAUUAUCGCGUGUGCCAUUUCGCUGUGUGGAUGAAAUUAAUCAGGUACAAGAUAUCCGGCUUAUGCUAAUCACUAAUAGGCAUGGAUGCGGUGAACGAGAGACGAGUCUUUGAUUUACUCGUCAAAAUGACAGGAAGGCCAGGAAGCUCCCAAUAUUUUUUGCUUACACCAAAACUUCUGCCUAAGUUAUCAUAUACUGAGACAGUAACGGUGCAUUGCGUCUUUAACGGGACAGUUAAAGCGGAUAAUGAAG
This 3344-nucleotide unclassified non-coding RNA is filed under the name Acromyrmex echinatior (Panamanian leafcutter ant). RNAcentral's name for it is "structural maintenance of chromosomes protein 5, transcript variant X2". The record is from RNAcentral. Lineage: Eukaryota; Metazoa; Arthropoda; Insecta; Hymenoptera; Formicidae.